ACUAGAUCCUUGCUUGACUUGAGAGGUAUGAGGUUGGAACGGCUGUAGCCAUCUCCAUCUAUUGAGGGAACACGGGUUUGAGAACACAGUCAAGUCAGGACGAGAACAAGAGACGCUGGAUCUUGAGGACAGUGCUUGAGCCCUCGAAUCAAUCAAUGUCUAAACUAAUGGAGGGUCGAUGAAGACAUUUGGCCAGAGGACCCUGAAACACCUGAAUCCCACCUUUGGCUGGCUAGCCCCAUUUCUCAGCAGUGCCUUCACAGGAGCGGGUAGGAAUAUAUCCAUAGAACACAUGCAGAUGGAUAAGCCAGGUUCUGGUCUCCAUUCCAGGAGAAUGCCAUUUGGUUGAAUUUUGGCUACAGUGUACGGACAUAAAGAAUUUGGGUCAUUCUUAUACCCAACAGACCACAUCCAGGAAAUGUAUUCAAGAUGCUUUGAUCUCAUCUGAGGGGUGGCUAAGUACAACCCAUUCUUAAUAAAGCUAUUUAUAGUGAGAAGCAAUUUGGGUCAGGCCUGCCUUUCCAGUCUGCCUCAUUGGCAAAGUGGUAGGCCCCUGACUUCUGUCUC
Molecule: long non-coding RNA, 567 nt
Filed under: Homo sapiens (human)
Lineage: Eukaryota; Metazoa; Chordata; Mammalia; Primates; Hominidae
Description: non-protein coding lnc-PAMR1-3:6
Source: RNAcentral